Long non-coding RNA from Physeter macrocephalus (sperm whale), 4183 nucleotides. RefSeq lists it as uncharacterized. NCBI's taxonomy places the organism in Eukaryota, Metazoa, Chordata, Mammalia, Artiodactyla, Physeteridae. The transcript is spliced from 7 exons. The record is from RefSeq and is a predicted model, not a curated record.
UGACUGCGUUGGGUCUUCGUUGCUGCGCACAGGCUUUCUCUAGUUGCAGUGAGCAGAGCACAGGCUCUAGGCACGCGGGCUUCAGUAGUUGCAGCACGUGGGCUCAGUAGUUGUGGCUCGCGGGCUCUAGAGCACAGGUUCAGUAGUUGUGGUGCACAGGCUCAGUUGCUCCGCGGCAUGGGGAAAUCUUCCUGGACCAGGGUUCAAACCCAUGUCCCCUGCAUUGGCAGGUGGAUUCUUAAUCACUGCGCCACCAGAGAAGUCCCCAGAGAGAUCUUUUUAAAAAACCACAUUUGCUCACAUCAUUUAGCAGCUAAACCCCCUCACUGGCCCUCACUGUGCUUAGCUUUCAAGGUCCUCCCUGGCCUGGGCCCUCCUGCCCCUCUCGGGUCCUGCCCAACUCUAACCUCUGAAUUCUGGCCACAGGGCCUUUACCUGCAGUCCCCUACAGCACCAGGCUCUCUUCUGCAGCCAACCAUAAUAAUGGUCCUCCCUGACCACGCCCCAUCACGGCACUUAUCAUGCACACUGCGGCCUGGGCCACAGUACUCACUAGACCCUGCUCUAGUACCCAGCAAGAGAGAGCACAGAGAAGACCUGUAAGAAAUACAAACAAGCCAAGUCUUCAACACACUUGACACUCCAGCUAUAAAACUUAUUAUUCGUCAGUAUUUGAAACAGUCUGAAUUAUAAUCAGAAAAAACAUUUACUAAAGUUUUGAAAACCAUAAAGGAAGACUUUAGUGAGCAAGCAGAACGACAAGCAGUGGUAGAGAAAGGAGAUUUGCCCACCUGGGAGGUGGUCAUGGAGUAAUGGGGGAAGGCACAAUCUCUCUGGAGAGCUAGGCUGGGCCGUCCUUCCAUCCCCAGGGACUUCAGGUUCUCCCAGGCCAGGACCUAGCCAAGCCUGGGCCACACAUAAGGCAGCAGGGAGCCUCUCUGCUGUUUCCCUCAUAGAUCAACCACACACCCAUAAUCCUGGGGGCUCUUGGAGAAACCUCCUCUGCCCCAAGGCAGCACCUGGGUGGUCACCUGGCUUCCAGCUCUUCGUCAUUUAGGUAUAGCAUCUGGGUGCUUAGGAAGCCCAGAGUCCAUGCUUCCAAGAUGUGUCCCCAAAACUGGCCCAGAGGGAGGUGGAAUCCACCGACUGCCCACGAUGCCUUCAGCAGACCCAGCGGGGGGAGGAGGGGGUACUUGGGGGACCUAGGACCUUGGGGAGAGGAAGUCAGGCAGAAAAAAAUCAGAAGGGGCAUCCCCUUGCUCCUCCUACCUGGAAAACAAAAAAGAUCCCUUUCCAAGCACCAGCUGGCAGGUAGGAGCCUGUCUCCCUCCUGUCUGGACAUCCAGUCCUAAAAGAAACUCAGACUCUAUCAGUCUCCCCCAGCCCACACCUGGGCAAAAGUUUACCUUUGGGAGAACGUAGGGGGACAGCGGCCUGAUAGCCAUUGCAAGGCACUGGGCCUCAGAUGUAAUCAACACUGCCUUCCACCAGAAGUAGACAGAACAAGUAUUAUUUCAUGGGGGAAAGGAGGGUGUCGCAGGAGUGUGAAGGGGGAGGAGAGGGCCCCAUUUGGCUGGAAUUAACUAACCUGCUUCAAAGGUGGGGGAUCAAGAUGGUCUGAUUUGUUAGGGAGGGGGAUUACACAAAAUCGUCCCCCUCAUCCCUGGGGCUGUAUGGGGUGGGGGUAAGGUCAGGAAGGAAGGUGAGGUUUGGAGGGGUGGGUCUCCUUCCAGCUGGCUGGGUAGGCGGACCCCUCCCACGCGCGGCUGGAGGAACUGACAGGUCUAAGUGGAGCGCUCUUGUAAGCCAGCUCACUGCAACUGGAAGAGCACGCUUGGGGGUUCCCCGUGCAGCUCCAGUACAAAAGGCCGCCCCAUUUCGAAACCUGGCGCGGGGCGUGGGUCAGGGCAGGGCGUUUAGAGUGAUUUACAUAUAUCCAUUUAAAGACAGCUAGUCUGAAUCUGCCAUCGGAAAUGGGUAAUAUCCGGCAAGUCCCUUCCCAGCUCUGGACCUCAGUUUCCCAUGUAUAGAAUCAGGGGCAGGAGGAAGAGGAGGUAGACAAGAGUAAACACGCUUUUAAGUCCGUGACAGCUCUGCCUCUCUGACUUUCCUCCUCGGGGGGGUUGAAGGGCUAGUUGGGUGUCUCUUUCUUGGGCAAGGCUGGGCGGGGCACUCUCCUCAGGCUACUUCCGAAACGGGAACCUGGCUGCGGGCUCAGAGAGAGGACGUUUUGGCAGCAGCAGUGAAAGAGACUGUGUCAGGAGGCCGGCGAUCGGGGGCAAAGCGCGUGCCGAGGCAGAACUGGGAAGCACCGUUGAGAGGCCUGAUCCCAAGGUCCUAGCCUGAGUGGAUGUAGGAACUCGAAACUAGAGCGGUGCCUCAGUUUACCCGUGCGCACAGUGGCUCUGGAACCUCGGACGGAGAAAUUGAGGCUCAGAGGAAGAUCAUCCAGGUGGGCCUGGAUGCCAGUUCCCGGUAUGGUGGCGCCGAAAUUGUGUCAUUUCUACUAGUCUCUACUUUGCAAUUUAAGGUCGUUCUCUGAUUAUUAAAAUCCGGAAACUGAGGCCGAGUGAGGAGCACAGCUUGCUCGGUAAAGCUUUUCCUGGGAGGCGGCAUAUGCUCUGCCGAGGAAGAGGAGCUGCCUAGAAAUGAGAGGAAGCAGAACGAGAUUCAUCCCUGUCUUCCCAGCAUCCGGAGGGGGCUCCAGGAAGGUUGCGGGGUCCAGGUAGCCCCUUCCACACAAGUCCCAGUCGUGCUGACACACAAGCCUGUCCACGGUGUCGCUGAGCCAGCUCUGUUGUUCCCUCCACCUCAGAGCUCCUCUCCUGUACAAGGCGCAGCUCCCCAACACUGUAGGAAACCAUUGAAAAAGAAGGCAUAAAGGCAGCAAACAUCAAAACCUCCAAGAUUACACUUACCUGGGUUCUAAUGCGAAUGACUUUGUGUGCUAGUGUGUAAAACUAUAAAUCUGAGGCCUUUAAUCUGAUUCUCAUCUCCAAAAUAAACUUCGGAGUUCCUAAAAGGCUCUAGCCACAGGAAUCCACUUCUCCAAUGGACCAAUUUUGCUGUAAAGUAGCACGUUCACCCUGGCCACGGUGUGGGUCAAGGGUGCUUAAACUCCGAGUGUGCCUCAGAAUCACCUCAGAAAACAGCAUGAGAAUGUACACUGCCAACACUGCAGAGAAGCCAACUCAGAGCCUAGUGGGGCUCAGGAAUCUGCAUUUUUACAUGAACCACAGCUGAUUCUGCUCAGACGAGCCAACUAUCCCACUUUGAGAAGCUCUGGCUAGUCUCUGAGCUCUGAUCCACGGUGUGAACCAAGAAAUCAUGGGUGGAGGCAUUUCUUACUUUUGUUCCCAAGACCCAACGUUCAGAGGGUCAGCCAGCCUGCCUCUCAGGCAGUGUGUCCCUGCAGGGCAUCAUGUCACCUCACCUGUGCAUUCUAAGGGACAUGUGGUUCUUCUUAUUUAUCCUGAGCAAAUCUCCCUCAGAGACCAGUGUAACGGAUUCUGAGAAGCGGGGAUUAGGCGGGAGGAAGGUAGGAGAACAAAUGUGGACACAGAACACAAGAGGACGCUGUGCUGGCCACUGUGCUCCAGGCUUCGUCGUCCCACAGAAGCCUGGUGGGGCACUAACACCCAUCUUCCAGCUGAGGACGUGAGGGCUCAGAGGUCACACCGCUAAUAAGAGCCGGACUCAGAUCAGAGUGCCUUGUUCCUGAUCUCCAUCCUGAACUCCUUUCAGGGCAUGCUAAACGUCAGCGACUGCAGUGGCUAGAGACUUCAUUCUUGGAGAACCAGAUGGGUCCUAAUGAAUAGCAGGAAGGACAUUAGUGUCCAAGGGCGAUGUGUGCUGUGCAAAGAAGAAGAACAAAGUGAAGAAGGUGGUAGGAGCACCCAGAGGAGAAGGUAAUAAGAAGAGAGUUCAUCUCCAUUUUAUCUUUUAUCUUGGAAAUACUAUUUUAGCCAUAAUUUUUUUCUUAGUUGUUACUUCUCCUGGCUGUUACUUCCUUACAGAGUACUCUUCUUCUUUUCCUUCUUGUGAUGUUUUGAUUUACAAUAAGAGGUAUAUAUUUGGUCUUCAUCCGGUUCCUUCCACAGAGCUCCUAAAACCCUUGGAAUUUCUUAAGUGUUAAGAGCACAAAUGUGAAAUGGGUGUCUUUUGUUAUUCUGAACAAGCCCCU